AUGCUCACUUUGACAGCACGUGUACUAAGCUGGAAUGAUACAGAGAAGAUUAGCAUGGCUCUUGCACAAGAACGACAGGCAAAUUCAUCAAGCAUUCCAUAAAAAA
This 106-nucleotide small nuclear RNA is filed under the name Bos taurus (domestic cattle). The record is from RNAcentral. Lineage: Eukaryota; Metazoa; Chordata; Mammalia; Artiodactyla; Bovidae.